This 425-nucleotide unclassified non-coding RNA is filed under the name soil metagenome. RNAcentral's name for it is "partial contains 5.8S ribosomal RNA, internal transcribed spacer 2, and large subunit ribosomal RNA". The stretch from base 1 to 120 matches the Rfam family "5.8S ribosomal RNA", at positions 35 to 154 of the family's 154-position model. The record is from RNAcentral.
GAUGAAGAACGCAGCGAAAUGCGAUAAGUAGUGUGAAUUGCAGAAUUCCGUGAAUCAUCGAAUCUUUGAACGCACAUUGCGCCUUCUGGUAUUCCGGAAGGCAUGCCUGUUCGAGAGUCAUUAACAACCGUUUCGAUCCCUUUCUUUCAGAAAUUACAAAGAGGAAAAGGGUUUGGUUAUGGUGGAGGAGGGAAAGGGAGCGUUUAGCCUGUAAAAAAAGAGGCUGUGUUCCGCCUCCCCCCCAAAAUUGUACAGGCGGUCGUGUGCGCCCACGCAUCGAGGUGUUGUAAAAACUGCCACGGCACUUUUCACCUGUGCAGUGCGAGAUUGGCCAGCCGGUUUAAAAACCCCUCCAAACAAUCAAAGGUUGACCUCGGAUCAGGUAGGGAUACCCGCUGAACUUAAGCAUAUCAAUAAGCGGAGGA